This 86-nucleotide transfer RNA is filed under the name Alphaproteobacteria bacterium. RNAcentral's name for it is "tRNA-Leu". It matches the Rfam family "tRNA". From Rfam's summary of the family: Transfer RNA (tRNA) molecules are approximately 80 nucleotides in length. Their secondary structure includes four short double-helical elements and three loops (D, anti-codon, and T loops). RNAcentral also lists the same sequence under 1 other name. The record is from RNAcentral. Lineage: Bacteria; Pseudomonadati; Pseudomonadota; Alphaproteobacteria.
GCGGACGUGGCGGAAUGGUAGACGCAAGGGACUUAAAAUCCCUUGGGAGCAAUCCCGUGUGGGUUCGAGUCCCACCGUCCGCACCA